CCUACGGGAGACAGCAGUGGGGAAUAUUGCACAAUGGGGGAAACCCUGAUGCAGCGACGCCGCGUGAGUGAAGAAGGAAUUCGUUAUGUAAAGCUCUAUCAGCAGGGAAGUAAAUGACGGUACCUGAGUAAGAAGCUCCGGCUAACUACGUGCCAGCAGCCGCGGUAAUACGUAGGGUGCAAGCGUUAUCCGGAUUUACUGGGUGUAAAGGGAGCGUAGACGGCAGUGCAAGUCUGGAGUGAAAGGCGGGGGCGCAACCCCCGGACUGCUCUGGAAACUGUACGGCUGGAGUGCAGGAGAGGUAAGUGGAAUUCGUAGUGUAGCGGUGAAAUGCGUAGAGAUUACGAAGAACACCGGUGGCGAAGGCAGCUUACUGGACUGUAACUGACGUUGAGGCUCGAAAGCGUGGGGAGCAAACAGGAUUAGAUACCCCUGUAGUC
This 440-nucleotide ribosomal RNA is filed under the name uncultured bacterium. Its description in RNAcentral is "partial 16S ribosomal RNA". It matches the Rfam family "Bacterial small subunit ribosomal RNA", at positions 338 to 795 of the family's 1533-position model. The record is from RNAcentral.